UAGAGAUCAACAGUUAUCUGUUCCUGCAUUGUCCUAUCACUAGUCAAUUGUGGCUAUUGUUCCUUAACAGUUGGGCCUCAGUUGGACAAUGCCUGCAACUAGUCUGGAGCUUCUAAAGUCCUGGAAUAACAUUGGAGGUGUAGUCAGUUAGAAGACAUGGUGGAGAGUGAUACCUGCUUGUGUAUGGUGGACAGAGAGGAACUCAAGAGUUUUUGAAGACAGAUACAAUACUCUUCAGAAUGUAAGAUGAAUAGUAUUCUUUUGUUCUAUUUUUGGUGUAAAGAAAGGCAUGUAGAGAAUACAGAGUCCCUGGUUGACAUGUUAGGUUUUUUGUAAGUCUGGGGGAUCGGUUUUGGUCUUCCCCCUUGUACAUAUGGUUUUGCACUGCCUUAGUGCCUUUUUUCUUAACAUAUUUGUACCAGUUUCAAAAAAAAGUUGAAUUAUUUUUACAUUUAGAAAUGCAUUAUUUAUUUUGGAAUAGACUAAAAAAGAAAGUAUCUCAUCUAAUUUGAAACAGAGGAAAUAUCUAUUAUCAUACUCAAAAAAUUUGAACUUAGGUCAAUGUAGCCAAGCUUACACAAGGAAAAAUAGCUAAUCCAAGUAAGAAACAAUGUCAAGAUUCGAUAGAGAUGCAUUGACUUAUAUUGUGGUUCAAUUUGUUGAAUGUGUCCUUUGUGAGCCAUUAAAUUGAGGAAGCAAGGGAGAAAUUCUAGACUCAUCAUCUCAGCAUAUGCAACUUGUUUUACUCUCCUAUUUUUCGCGUUCAAUCUUGUUGAUUAUGGAUUUGUCCUUUCACCUCCAAGAUUCGUUCUUUUCCUUUCAACAACAGGAUCAAUAAUUUGUUCAAUCAAAAAUGUAGAGAAUUCCUAGUGCUUUUUAUUUUUACUUUUUUUGGAUCAAAAUAGUAAAAAAUUAUUCAACUAAGUAGCAGUAUAUACAAGCUAGCUUAUUUGACUCUAGAGCUAGACCAUUCAAAAAUAACCAAAAUAAAGCUCGCGGUUAUCAGGGAUUUACACUCGGCACUUUCUAGAAAGGGUACAAUUGAAGUCUCCACAUCCAGCAGCAAGACAGUUAGCUAACAAGGAAAACUAUUCAACCUAUCUAAUGUCGCCCUACAAUAUAUAACUGUAAACUAUGUUUUUUAUCUUCUCAAAAUUCUCUCUACUCUUCUGUUGGAAUCUGCGGUUGUUCCUUUCAGUCCAGGUGUUGUAUAUACUAACGUCCUAAGUUGCUCAGACUCUUCAUUUUCGGUGCCUCACCCAUGUCGACAUAAUGUGGGUGUAAGUGUGGGUGUGCGAUCCGUAUUUUGGGUACUUUGACUAAAAUCAAUGGAGAAGUUCAGGUCAGAUAUAAUGAUUUCUGAAAUUGAAACAAAGUAGGGUAAAAUUGAAGAAAACGGCAUACCUUAUAUAUGGAAAUUUCUCUGUCAGUUUUUUUCUUUUUAUCUCCUUUUAGGAUUCUCCUCUUGAUCAAUAUUUUGAACUUCCCGGAAUACCUUGUAAGUUUUCCACAUGAUGUCUUAGAACUUGGGCAUAUUUUUAUAACACUAUGUUUAGAUAUUUGAAUUAUUUUUAGCUGGAUUCUCGCACCCGCAUCCAUAUCCGGAUCUUAAAAUUUAGAUCAUGAGGGAUCUGACCUCUAGAUCAGCACUCAUACUGGACACCCGCAUCCCUGUUCAAGCAACAUAGGACUAGCAACAAAGAGAAACCUCAAUAGAACUCCCUUAGAUCUACUGUUGUUAACUACUUACCUGAGCCAUUUAGUUUUAUCUUCCUAUUUUCAAAGCAUCCCAAUUGCCUACUCAUGCCCAGCCAAUUUAAAAGAGUCUGCCAGAUACUCCUCGAGUAAGAACAAUCGAAGAAUAGAUGAGUAUGUGAUUCCUCAGCAUCAUAAGCACACAACACACAUUCUUAGCCACAUGGACGCCCCAUCUACCCAAUCUAUCCACAGUAGAAAGCCUUCCUUGAAGAGUCAGCCAAUGGAUACGCUGAUGCAUCCUUUAACCAUUGAGAGAGUCUUCGAAGGCACUUUCUGAUAUAAUGGAAGGAAAAAUCCAUAGGCUUUUCUAACUCUGGAAACAGAGUUAGCUGUAAAUGCAUUCAAUGUGAACAGAGAUAGCUUUAAUUGUAUUCAAUGUGUUCAAUACUGAAUUCCCAGAGCUUAGCCACCUUCUGGCAUCCAGAACUUUCUUUACCAUCCUGCUUGCCUGUUUAGGUAUACACAUAGUAUCCAAAUUUUCCGCUUUUUGUAGGAAUUGUGGAUCCACAACACCAAGAGCUUAUCCUUCUUCUUUGCCCCAGCCCAUGGUAACUUACAUAGAAUUUCAAAAUAUCUGGAUAUUUUGAACUUCUUCCUAUUGAACAAAGUUUCCCUAUGUAAGUUACGAUGGGUUGAGAGGAGUCCAAAUGGAGAAACAUGGCCAGUGGGAUUCAUAUAGCUGACCUCGACUUGUUUGGAACUGAGACAUAGUUGAUCCAUUGAAGGUUUAGACCAUUAGCCACACCCUAAUUGAUAGAUAAAAUAAUUUGUAGCAAUUCCUUUUAUUGCUGUUGUUAUAUUUGGGUUUCCGUAAAAUAAUUUAGACCUCGUGUGGAGGAAAUUGGAUGUGUAUUAAUUGAUAGAUAAAAUAAUUUGUAGCAAUUCUUUUUAUUGCUGUUGUUAUAUUUGGGUUUCCGUACAGUUUGCGUGCUAAAUUUACGCAUCAAUUUAAAUUGUUUCACAUAAGCAUCAAUUUAAAUUGUUUCACAUAAGCAUGGAUGUUGUCUUUCAUUCUGUCAUGUUAUAUGGUUAUAAAUUUGGGUACUGACAUAUCAAAUCUUAUCUUUCAGUGUCUUGUGAUGAUGGCAGAGGAGAUAUGAGCUUGGAUACUUCUGAAAGAAAUAUGGUGUCUCUCUUCAUGACGAACCAACCUUGAAUCUUUUCCCUGAGAGAGCAUUUUGUGGAACGAUUGAUCAUCUUGUGCAACUUUUAUCUUAUGCUUUAGUUAAAACAUUAGACGUUAUAGUACCCACGUCCGAAGAGUAUGACUUGAACAUACUGAACUGUGUGAUAGAUUGUUGUUGAAACUUGCUAUUUUGAUGUAAUGUUUUAGGAUUUAAUGCUCAUAGUUUUUGCUGAUCUCUUUUAAUCGUCUGUAUUAUCCGUUUAUGUUCUUUAGACCCAGAUUUUGUUGGGCACACGGUGUUCAGCACUCAAGUGUUCUUGUAAAGUGUAUAAAGAAUUCUAAUUUCACUGCUGCCAUGUUAAGUGAACUGUAAUUUCACUUCAAUUCUUUAAGAGUACUUUGUCCUUACCAAUUAAGCUA
Molecule: long non-coding RNA, 3304 nt
Filed under: Nicotiana benthamiana
Lineage: Eukaryota; Viridiplantae; Streptophyta; Magnoliopsida; Solanales; Solanaceae
Description: long non-coding RNA (NBEN_LNC029602)
Source: RNAcentral